Molecule: ribosomal RNA, 275 nt
Filed under: uncultured prokaryote
Description: partial 16S ribosomal RNA
Rfam family: Bacterial small subunit ribosomal RNA
Source: RNAcentral
UACGUAGGGGCUAGCGUUAUCCGGAUUUACUGGGCGUAAGGGGUGCGUAGGCGGUCUUUCAAGUCAGGAGUGAAAGGCUACGGCUCAACCGUAGUAAGCUUUUGGAACUGUAAGACUUGAGUACAGGAGAGGAGAGUGGAAUUCCUAGUGUAGCGGUGAAAUGCGUAGAUAUUAGGAGGAACACCAGUAGCGAAGGCGGCUCUCUGGACUGUAACUGACGCUGAGGCACGAAAGCGUGGGGAGCAAACAGGAUUAGAUACCCUGGUAGUCCCUGA